Molecule: ribosomal RNA, 231 nt
Filed under: uncultured bacterium
Lineage: Bacteria
Description: partial 16S ribosomal RNA
Rfam family: Bacterial small subunit ribosomal RNA
Source: RNAcentral
UGAGUAACCUGCCCUUGACUCUGGGAUAAGCGUUGGAAACGACGUCUAAUACCGGAUACGAGCUUCAGUCGCAUGACUAGGAGCUGGAAAGAAUUUCGGUCAAGGAUGGACUCGCGGCCUAUCAGCUAGUUGGUGAGGUAACGGCCCACAAGGCGACGACGGGUAGCCGGCCUGAGAGGGUGACCGGCCACACUGGGACUGAGACACGGCCCAGACUCCGUACGGGAGCAG